GCUCCCUGGCGGCGGUCCUGGGCCCGGCCGCAGGCGCUCGCGGUUCGGGCUGCCCCAGGCCGCAGUGCCCUCCGCCCCGGCCUGGCCGGCCCCAGCGACCCCGGCACCCCAACCCCCGCGCGCUGGCUCCUUGGCUCCUUCCGCGGCCGCGCGGUGCUCUUCGCUCCAGUCCGGCGACCCCAGCGGAAACCCGGACCCUGGUCCUGAGGUUUGUUUAUUUUAUUUGAAAGUGAGAGUUACACACAGAGAGAAGGAGAGGCAGAGAGAGAUCUUCCAUCCGCUGGUUCACUCCCCAGAUGGCCACAACAGCUGGAACUGCGCCGAUCUGAAGCCAGGAGCCAGGAGCUUCUUCCGGGUCUCCCAUGCAGGUGCAGGCACCCAAGGACUUGGGCCAUCUUCUACUGCUUUCCCAGGCUGUAGCAGAGAGCUGGAUCAGAAGUGGAGCAGCUGGGACUCGAACUAUAUGGGAUGCCGGCACUGCAGGUGGUGGCUUUACCCGCUACACCACAGCGCUGGCCCCACCCAUAUUCUUAAAUUAUACUGCCAGAGUCUGGUUUAAGUUGUACACUUUUGUUUCUCAUUCUGCCUCAUGUUUUUUUAGACAUUCAGGUGUUCAACAUUUAAGCAUGGAUCUUAACUCGUUA
Oryctolagus cuniculus (rabbit) is the source of this 644-nucleotide long non-coding RNA. RefSeq lists it as uncharacterized. The record is from RefSeq and is a predicted model, not a curated record. Lineage: Eukaryota; Metazoa; Chordata; Mammalia; Lagomorpha; Leporidae.